This 773-nucleotide unclassified non-coding RNA is filed under the name Hevea brasiliensis (rubber tree). The record is from RNAcentral. Lineage: Eukaryota; Viridiplantae; Streptophyta; Magnoliopsida; Malpighiales; Euphorbiaceae.
GUGGAAUCUCAUUAAUUCCAAAGAUUAAAAUUACUGCUUUUCACCAUAGAAACCAUUGUUGAACAAUGACACUUAGUUGCUUGGUGCAUGUAAGGCAUAGCCACAUAAAAGGUGCAACACUAUUACAGAAAGCUUCAUUAGUUUCAGAAAAGAACAACUAUUUUAACCACAAUAAACAGUACAAUUUUCCUGCCUCCAAGGAUCAUCAACGAGUAUACCUGGCCUCAACAAGCAAGGUGAUCUAUUACCACGGCAAUUAAAACUUUGCAAAUUGAGAACAAAAGCCAUCCUAAUGUAAAUUUUUAUUCAAACCACUAAAAAGUAUAUCUUGCAAUACCUAAACUAAUGGGUCCAGCACCAAUUAGGAAUGCAUAACCAACAUCCAAGAACAGACAGUGUUAAUACAAAGAACAAAAACUAAGAUUUGAAAAUGAUACGCAUCCUCCAACAUGGUUCCAAACAUAAAAACAUAUAAUAUAAACUUCCUAAUAAACCUGAGACAUAGAUAAAAAAAAAUGAGGCAGCACAGAUGGGGCAAAUUUCUCAUAGGUACAUGCUGAAGUGCCAUUGCUUGAAAUAUCAAAUUUGAUAGAGAAAGAAAAUGUUAUUAUAACAAAAUUUUAAGACUUCUGAAAAUGGCAGCUGAUUAUAUGUAGGGGAGUUUUAAUGAAACCUCUGAAUCACAUCUACUUAUUCAUUUGCACACACAAUGUAAUUAUACAUGAAAACAAAUGGUACACAAAAGAUUACCUUAGGACAAUAAUGGAAUGCAC